UACGGAGGGUGCGAGCGUUAUCCGGAAUUACUGGGCUUAAAGGGUGCGUAGGCGGCCAAGUAAGUCAGGAGUGAAAGUUUGCGGCUCAACCGUAAAAUUGCUUUUGAUACUGCUAGGCUAGAAUUAGGAUGAGGUCAGCGGAAUGUGGCAUGUAGCGGUGAAAUGCAUAGAUAUGCCAUAGAACACCAAUUGCGAAGGCAGCUGGCUAGACCUGGAUUGACGCUGAGGCACGAAAGCGUGGGGAUCGAACAGG
RNAcentral lists this ribosomal RNA (253 nucleotides) under uncultured bacterium. RNAcentral describes it as "partial 16S ribosomal RNA". It matches the Rfam family "Bacterial small subunit ribosomal RNA", at positions 524 to 776 of the family's 1533-position model. The record is from RNAcentral.